This 445-nucleotide ribosomal RNA is filed under the name uncultured bacterium. RNAcentral describes it as "bacterial SSU rRNA". It matches the Rfam family "Bacterial small subunit ribosomal RNA", at positions 340 to 774 of the family's 1533-position model. The record is from RNAcentral.
UACGGAAGGCAGCAGUGGGGAAUAUUGGACAAUGGGCGCAAGCCUGAUCCAGCCAUGCCGCGUGUGUGAAGAAGGCCUUCGGGUUGUAAAGCACUUUUGUCCGGAAAGAAAAGCUUAGGGUUAAUAACCUUGAGUCAUGACGGUACCGGAAGAAUAAGCACCGGCUAACUUCGUGCCAGCAGCCGCGGUAAUACGAAGGGUGCAAGCGUUACUCGGAAUUACUGGGCGUAAAGCGUGCGUAGGUGGUUUGUUAAAGUCUGAUGUGAAAGCCCUGGGCUCAACCUGGGAAUGGCAUUGGAAACUGGCUUACUAGAGUGCGGGUAGAGGGGUGUGGAAUUCCCGGGUGUAGCAGUGAAAUGCGUAGAUAUCGGGAGGAACAUCUGUGGCGAAGGCGACACCCUGGACCAGCACUGACACUGAGGCACGAAAGCGUGGGGAGCAAACG